UAUGGAAAAUGUAAAUUUUCUGAAUAAAUAUGAUUUUCCAUAUUCCAGCUAUAGCUGCAUAAUUACGUGCGGCGUAGACGCCGUAGAGCAGACGACAGAACAGUUGGCAACUCUAGAAAUAUUCAUGCUCUAACCUCUGAGUGCGGAGCUCACCCCGCAACAGACAUACGCGGCCGGCCAGCAGAUAAUCAAAAAGGUGUCGACUACUCGAAAGAAAAAGAAAAGCCAUCCGCGACGAGCGAGGUGAAAGCCGUGUGUGUAUGUCCAAAGCUAGAGCGUGUCGUCUGGUGCAUCAGCUGGAGGUUACGCUGGUGAAGUGCGGCUCUGCAAAUGGAGUAGUGAGUGCCGGAGAGCGAGAAGGACUCUUGGAUAAGAUUAGACAAAUAAAGAGCAAGGAGGUCGGUAUAAUCGGCUACUCGGAGCCGGUGGUACACAACAGGUGUGCGGAAGGUAGGCGACGAGGCCGAUGGGCGAUUGGGAAACGAUAUGGCUUUGUCGAGCCUGCAGCUGACGACGCCCGAGCAAAGGUACACAGGCGCAGUGUACUACGGCGAUAUAUUCAUCUAUACUGCUGCGAGAACGCCGACACCGACUUCGUGCCCACGGCCAAAGUUGGCAAGCUUCUCAGGUCUGCUAAUCUGCCCUCCGAGGUUACCCUCCAGAUACUAGAUAUUUGCAGUGGUGCUAAAAGUAACACACUUAACAGAAAGCAGUUUUACGCUGCUUUAAACUGGUAGCAGCACAUUAAGCUGGCCUCGAGGUUCACAAGGAUUUAAUUUGCGCUUCUGUAGACAAACUUGCUCUGCCAAAAUUCACAUGGCCUUCUUCAAUGGGAGAUGAAGAGGAGAAUGUUAAUUUCUUCUCAUGGGUAAAUAAAGAAGCAUCAUGACAUCUCGCUUAUACUUAUUAGGAAGAACGCAUCGCAUCUCUAUGAACUACACAAAAGCUAUUAGGAGAACAACAUUUAGAGUUCAAGUCUACUUAGAACACGAUGGGUGAUUUUACUGAUAUUUUGCACAAGAUAUAUGGAAUUUACUUGAGUUACUGGUGUAGUUUUUCUGGAAAAAAUGGCAAGGUGCUGAUAGGUAACAGGAGUAAAAC
Molecule: long non-coding RNA, 1101 nt
Organism: Nasonia vitripennis (jewel wasp)
Lineage: Eukaryota; Metazoa; Arthropoda; Insecta; Hymenoptera; Pteromalidae
Exons: 5
Source: RefSeq, a predicted model, not a curated record